CGCGUGGGUAAUCUGCCUUCGGGUUUGGGACAACUCCGGGAAACUGGAGCUAAUACCGAAUAAGACCACGAGGUCCUCGGGCCUUGCGGAAAAAGGUGGCCUCUUCUUGAAAGCUAUCGCCUGUAGAUGAGCCCGCGUCCCAUUAGCUUGUUGGUGAGGUAACGGCUCACCAAGGCAUCGAUGGGUAGCUGGUCUGAGAGGAUGAUCAGCCACACUGGAACUGAGACACGGUCCAG
RNAcentral lists this ribosomal RNA (236 nucleotides) under uncultured bacterium. RNAcentral describes it as "partial 16S ribosomal RNA". It matches the Rfam family "Bacterial small subunit ribosomal RNA", at positions 114 to 334 of the family's 1533-position model. The record is from RNAcentral.